ACGGAAGGCAGCAGUGAGGAAUAUUGGUCAAUGGACGGGAGUCUGAACCAGCCAAGUCGCGUGAAGGAUGAAGGUAUUAUGUAUUGUAAACUUCUUUAGCAGUGGAGUAAUAAGGGGAUUGCGAUCCCUGAUGCAAGUACACUGAGAAUAAGGAUCGGCUAACUCCGUGCCAGCAGCCGCGGUAAUACGGAGGAUCCGAGCGUUAUCCGGAUUUAUUGGGUUUAAAGGGUGCGCAGGCGGCUUUUUAAGUCAGUGGUUAAAUCGUGACGCUCAACGUCAUCACGCCAUUGAUACUGGAGAGCUUGAUUGCGGUCGAGGUUUGCGGAAUUCGUUGUGUAGCGGUGAAAUGCAUAGAUAUGACGAAGAACACCGAUUGCGUAGGCAGCAGACCAGGCCGUAAAUGACGCUCAUGCACGAAAGUGCGGGGAUCGAACAGGAUUAGAUACCCUGGUA
This 453-nucleotide ribosomal RNA is filed under the name uncultured Porphyromonadaceae bacterium. Its description in RNAcentral is "partial 16S ribosomal RNA". It matches the Rfam family "Bacterial small subunit ribosomal RNA", at positions 341 to 792 of the family's 1533-position model. The record is from RNAcentral. Lineage: Bacteria; Pseudomonadati; Bacteroidota; Bacteroidia; Bacteroidales; Porphyromonadaceae.